This 484-nucleotide ribosomal RNA is filed under the name uncultured bacterium. RNAcentral describes it as "partial 16S ribosomal RNA". It matches the Rfam family "Bacterial small subunit ribosomal RNA", at positions 30 to 507 of the family's 1533-position model. The record is from RNAcentral.
AGUGAACGCUGGCGGCAGGCCUAACACAUGCAAGUCGAGCGGCAGCGGGUCCUUCGGGAUGCCGGCGAGCGGCGGACGGGUGAGGAAUGCAUCGGAAUCUGCCCUGUCGUGGGGGAUAACCUAGGGAAACUUAGGCUAAUACCGCAUACGACCCACGGGUGAAAGCAGGGGAUCGCAAGACCUCGCGCGAUAGGAUGAGCCGAUGUCCGAUUAGCUAGUUGGCGGGGUAAAGGCCCACCAAGGCGACGAUCGGUAGCUGGUCUGAGAGGAUGAUCAGCCACACUGGGACUGAGACACGGCCCAGACUCCUACGGGAGGCAGCAGUGGGGAAUAUUGGACAAUGGGCGCAAGCCUGAUCCAGCCAUGCCGCGUGGGUGAAGAAGGCCUUCGGGUUGUAAAGCCCUUUUGUCCGGGAAGAAAUCGUCUGGGCUAAUACCCCGGGCGGAUGACGGUACCGGAAGAAUAAGCACCGGCUAACUUCGUG